CUUGCGGAGACUGGGCGCAGGGCGUGGGGGUCAGUGAGGGCGCGGUGGGUCAGCCCCAGCCCGGCUGGCAGUCGCGGGGCUGGGAAGGUAGGGAACCCUCCGCUCUCACCCCACUUCCUGUUUGGUCGGUGUGUUCUGUGACCAUAGAUGGUCAAGUCUGGGGCCGCGCGGAAGCCUCCGCCCUGUGGUUUUGGAGCCCUUCCUCCCGGCGCGCAGGGUGUGGUCCCCGAGAAUAAGAUGAGCAGAAUUAAAGCAGAUCCUGCACCCACUCUGCUGAAAUCCGGCUUCUGAGGCAGCCUCGCCCAGGGCUGGGUGGGCUCAGGCGGCUGCUACUCGGUUCAGGGGAGGUUACGCACGGUGGCUGCCGCGCGCAGGGGAGGCUUCGCUUCCGUACUCCUUGGGCCGGGAGAUCCGAUCUUUGUUCCCUCAAGACUCACACUCUCCAACCGGUCAUUAUCCUCCCACAAAGAUUUAUUUCUAGAAAAAAUUGGCAAGUGCCACAGUUCCCGCCCCUUCAGCUGAACGACUGUGACAGCUCCGUGUUUCAAGUUGAAUGCAGGCGUUAUGUGCCAGAGUCAAUCAUUCAACAAAUAAAGUUCUUAAAAUAACAGCUACCAUUUACUGCACGCUGACUACUUGCCAGGCCCAUGCUGAGUUCUUCAAGCGUAUUUUCAUUUACUCCUAAUAGCAACUCUCGGUGAGACAGAAGGAACAUAGACCAUACACGCAUUCUAGAGGAAGAGGAGAGAGAAGAGGAAGCAGGAAGGAGAAUGAAGAAAGUUUCCUCAUCAGGUGGGGAAUAUUAAUGGGGCUGUAAUGAGAAACGGAAGCAGUAAUGUAUGUGAAACCACUUUGUAAAAUGCUUCAUUAUAAAGAAUGCACACACGACUUAAGUUACAACCCCUGCCCUAAGGAAUGUCCAGUCUUUUAAGAAGUCUAGAUCCAUGCAUUUGUAACUCCAGUAGGAGAUGGGAAGAUAGUUUAAGAAUAUCCGUCACAUGAAGGGCUGGGCGCGGUGGCUCACACCUGUAAUCCCAGCAUUUUGGGAGGCCGAGGCGGGCAGAUAACGAGGUCAAGAGAUCAAGACCAGCCUGGCCAAUAUGGUGAAACCCCGUCUCUACUAAAAAAUACAAAAAUUAGCUGGGCGUGGUGGCAUGCGCCUGUAGUCCCAGCUAUUUGGGAGGCUGAGGCAGGAGAAUCGCUUGAACCCGGGAGGCAGAGGUUGCAGUAAGCUGAGAUCGUGCUUCUCUACUCUAGCCUGGCGACAGAGUGAGACUCUGUCUCAAAAAAAUAAAUAAAAGAAUAUCUGUCACAUGUAUUUAUGCACUGAAAAAAAACUAUUGAGCUACAUAGUAGCAAUUAUUGGAAGAGUUCAAUAAUUGCUAUGCUACUUUGUACCAAGCACAACUAGGGAUCCAGCAGUGGACAAGUCAGACCCUGUUACUGCUCUCAUGGAGCUUACAGUCUAUUUUGGAAAUGAUAUUUCCAUUUGGAGUGGUCAUCAGAAGAUACGCUGCCUUCUGUCUUCCAGCUUUUUCCUCCUCGCUGAUCUUGCCCCUUGUCCAGUACCCAGUGCUUCAUCCAUGUCUCUCUUGCAGAUAACUAUGGCCGUGUGCCUGAGAUCUGGCCAAUGGAAUCGUGGACAGUUCUCCAUGCUCUUUCUCCUUCUGUGGCAACUCUGAAUGUCGUGUGUUCAAGAUGAAGACAGAAGAUAGAAUGACCUUGGGUCUCUGAAUCAUUGCUUGGAGAAGAGCAAUUUACUGAUCAGUGGUGUGAAAAUAAGUAAUUCAAAAUCUAAGCUAUUGGGCCAGGUGCAGUGGCUCACGCCUGUAACCCCAGCACUUUGGGAAACCAAGGCAGGUGGAUCAUUUGAGGUCAGGAGUUCGAGACCAGCCUGGCCAACAGGGUGAAACCCCGUCGCUACUAAAAAUACAAAAAAUUAGCCGGGCAUGGUGGCAUACGCCUGUGGCCCCAGCUACUUGGGAGGCUAGGGCACGAGAAACACUUAAGCCCAGGAGGCGGAAGUUGCAGUGAGCCAAGACUGCACCACUGCAUGCUAGCCUGGGCAAGAGAGCAAGACUCUGCCUCA
This 2089-nucleotide long non-coding RNA is filed under the name Homo sapiens (human). RNAcentral's name for it is "HSALNT0291617". Lineage: Eukaryota; Metazoa; Chordata; Mammalia; Primates; Hominidae. The record is from RNAcentral.